RNAcentral lists this ribosomal RNA (882 nucleotides) under uncultured bacterium. RNAcentral describes it as "bacterial SSU rRNA". It matches the Rfam family "Bacterial small subunit ribosomal RNA", at positions 96 to 953 of the family's 1533-position model. The record is from RNAcentral.
UGGCGAACGGGUGAGUAACACGUGGGUAAUCUAACCUCGAGUUUGGGAUAACCUUGCGAAAGCGGGGCUAAUACCGAAUAAGACCACGCCCUGCCCGCAGGGUGCGGUAAAAGGUGGCCUCUUCUUGAAAGCUGUCACUUGAGGAUGAGCCCGCGGCCUAUUAGCUAGUUGGUGGGGUAAUGGCCUACCAAGGCGACGAUGGGUAGCCGGCCUGAGAGGGUGUACGGCCACACUGGCACUGAGAUACGGGCCAGACUCCUACGGGAGGCAGCAGUGGGGAAUUUUGCGCAAUGGGGGAAACCCUGACGCAGCAACGCCGCGUGAGUGAUGAAGGCCUUCGGGUCGUAAAGCUCUUUUAGUGGGGAAGAAUCCCUUUCGGGUUAAUACCUCGGGAGGAUGACGGUACCCACAGAAAAAGUUCCGGCUAACUACGUGCCAGCAGCCGCGGUAAUACGUAGGGAGCAAGCGUUGUUCGGAAUUAUUGGGCGUAAAGAGCGCGUAGGCGGUUCGGUAAGUCUGACGUGAAAUCCCAGAGCUUAACUCUGGAACUGCGUUGGAUACUGCCGAGCUUGAGUGUGGGAGAGGAGAGUGGAAUUCCCAGUGUAGAGGUGAAAUUCGUAGAUAUUGGGAGGAACACCCGUGGCGAAGGCGGCUCUCUGGACCACAACUGACGCUGAGGCGCGAAAGCUAGGGUAGCAAACGGGAUUAGAUACCCCGGUAGUCCUAGCCGUAAACGAUGGGCACUAGGUGUUGGAGGUAUCGACCCCUCCAGUGCCGCAGCUAACGCAUUAAGUGCCCCGCCUGGGGAGUACGGUCGCAAGACUAAAACUCAAAGGAAUUGACGGGGGCCCGCACAAGCGGUGGAGCAUGUGGUUUAAUUCG